GUAAAAUAAAGCCAAUAAGAAAAAGAACAUAAGUGGAUUCCACUCUUUCCUCCUCUUAUCAACAUGUACCACCCAGAUGAAUUCAUUUCAUAUAAAUUGGCAGCAAAAGUUAUAAUCUUCCUUGUACCAGUAUUAACCAAGUUUCUUAGCAUUGUGCAUGUUCCUAGAUCUGUUUUUAGUUACCUAAAUAGAAUGGAAGAUUGCAGCCAAUCAUGACAAGAAGCAAAGAAAAUGACAGCCUUGCUGUUAGUCAUUCUGGAUAUAAUGAUGCAAAAUUCUUCUGCAAGAGGAAGCCGCUUGCCAAAGAUGCAAAAAGCUU
RNAcentral lists this unclassified non-coding RNA (319 nucleotides) under Hevea brasiliensis (rubber tree). The record is from RNAcentral. Lineage: Eukaryota; Viridiplantae; Streptophyta; Magnoliopsida; Malpighiales; Euphorbiaceae.